UACGGGGGGGGCAAGCGUUGUUCGGAAUUACUGGGCGUAAAGGGUUCGUAGGUGGCUUGCUAAGUCACACGUGAAAUCCCUCAGCUUAACUGGGGAACUGCGUGUGAUACUGGCGAGCUUGAGUGCAGGAGAGGAACGCGGAAUUCCAGGUGUAGCGGUGAAAUGCGUAGAUAUCUGGAGGAACACCGGUGGCGAAGGCGGCGUUCUGGACUGCAACUGACACUGAAGAACGAAAGCCAGGGGAGCAAACGGG
This 253-nucleotide ribosomal RNA is filed under the name uncultured bacterium. RNAcentral's name for it is "partial 16S ribosomal RNA". It matches the Rfam family "Bacterial small subunit ribosomal RNA", at positions 524 to 776 of the family's 1533-position model. The record is from RNAcentral.